GGCACUUGCAAAGUAUCCCCGUUGUAAUAUCUAGACCAAUCUCUGCCAGUAAAUUAAUGUGAUAUUUCCCCUGGUUUGAUCAUUGUUCUUGUAUUUGUGACUUCCUCUUAUGUAAGUAGAGGUUGUGUAGCUAUCAAUUAUUUAUCUGUUUUGGGUGCUUUUGUCGAGGUACACGAGCUAUUGAUGAACUGGAAUCGUAUGCAGUUUAUGGUAGUUCUGUAUUUGGGCUCAUCAUGUUCCACGUAAUGCUUAGUGACCCGGAUAUUCAAAAUGGAGCAUGAUAAAAAUCCCAACAUAACAAACUAGAAACCGAAAUCACUAAUUGAUUGCAACCUGUGAGUUUUCUCUUUCUUCUAGAUUUGUUUAUUCAAACAUUUUAUCUAUUAAACCGUACGUUCAAAUCUCGCACCGCUUUCAUAGUUGGAUUCCUUGCGUCAAGUGUUUCAAAGCUAUAACCUAUGUUGGUAGGUUUUAAUGUGCUUUCAUUUUCAAGAAAAAAAUCAGUAGUAAAAACCGGACAAAAAAUUGAACCGGGAGCAUACUUUUUUCCUUUAUGAAAGAGGCAUGGCCGUGCGUCUCGUGAAAUCACAACCGUGUCUCUCACGAAAGAAAAAAAAUAAAAUAAAAAACGUAUUUUUUUUGUUUUUGAGAGGCACAGUUCGCGAAAGCACAACUAUGCCUCUCGCUGAAGUAAAAUCGUGCCUCUCGCGGAAGGAAAAGAAAGCAGAAAACAUGUUUUUUUCGUUUUCGAGAGUGUGCCUCUCGCGAAAGCAAAACUGUGCCUAUCAGGGAAACAAAAUCGUGCUUCUCAGGAUGAAAAAACCCAGAAAACACGCUUUUUUUGUUUUCAUUUUUGAAAGGCUCAUUCGUGCCUCUCGCGAAAGCAAAACCGUGUCUCUCGCGGAAAUAAAACCGUUCCUAUGAUAGAAGAAAAAAAACAUGUUUUUUUCGUUUUUGAGAGGCAUGGUUGUGCUUCUCUCAAAAGCAAAAACGUGCCCCUCGCAGAAGCAAAAUCGUGCCUCUGGUGGAAGAAAAAAAACAUGUUAUUUCGUGCAAAAUAAAUUUUAUUUCUCAAAAUUUUUUGUCCCAAAAGCUAAGGAAGACCGGUUGAAAACCAAAACAUCAAAAAAAUCCAGAAAAACCCGUUUAAUAAGUCGAAAACCCGUGCAAAAAAAUAUUCGAAUGAAGCGCCCAGAGCGCGACACGUGGCGGGCGGCUGAGAGCGCCCCAAGUGACGCUAAUCGUUGUGAGGCUCCGAAGGAGCAUUUGUCAACUAGUUGCUCCCAUUAGAAACGUUUCUGGAAAAACCAAAGUAGAAACCUCAUCUACCUCUCGCUCGCGUCAUCUCUUCUAGGAGACCCAGGGGCCCCAAAACCUAGUGUCGCCAGGCCCAUCCAUCAACUGCUCCCCUCCCAUCGCUGCUAGCGGCCUUUGCUGCGGUGGUGGCGGCCCCAGUUCCUCAAGGGGAUGGGGGACCUCUGACGGUAGCUUAGGGCUUGGUGGAUCGUGGGUCCCGAGGCGGUGGUUUCGUUUUUCGCGGCGACGGUAGCUGCUAUGGCCGCUAGAACGGUGUGCUGGUCAUGCUUAGGCGUCGGUGUCAGCGUCGUUGCUUUCGGGGGUCGCCUUGAAGAGCAUUGGAUCCUGUUUGUGCGCUUCAUGGCUGGACGCUUGCGGCAUUGUGGCUGACAAGUGUUCGUAUGUUGUGUGACUUCUUGUCUGGCAAUGAUGGCGACUUCGGGCGGAAUUGGGCUGUAAUCGAGCUUUGGUGGUCGGUCUCAUCGGAUGUGUUCGAGGGGUCGCCGUGCAUCAUUUGUCUUCCUGAAGUCAGAGCUACAAAGACGGUGCCCCACGGUGAUGAUAACAUGAGACGGGUGGUCGGUUCCCAUGCCGGCUCGGCGUAGGCUCAACGCUUUUCCCCUGCAAUGCUCAUCGACAGAGUUGGAGUUGUAUGUUCAUCGGCGCGUGCGAUUGACUGUUUGGCAUCGGCCGCCCAGGCGUCUGUGCUUGUUUGAGGUGGGGGCUACAUCGGUGGUCAUUGAUGGUUGAGUCGGAGUCGUCCUCACGAAGGAGUAAUAACGAUGACACUGAAAUGCAACCUCGCCGGCAUUUGUCUCCUCGAUGGUGCGUGUGCAUUCUUGUAUGGAUUGCCAGGUUACCCCGUAUGCCUUGUUUUUGCAGGCAUAAUGUAACAGAUUUGCCCUAUUUUCCAUUAGUUAGUCGGGCAUCUCUCUUCUUGCUUGAUGAAUUCUAGACCCUUGGGACCGGCUUAAAAAAAUGUAGCUUGAUCUCAUAUGUACCCAGAUGAAUCGGUGGAUCACUGAUUUUGCCUUUUUCGUAGAGGACUACGAAUAUCAGUUCUUCAUUAAAAUGCGUAUAUAGUUUUUUUUAGAGUACGCCUAAACGUAUCAUAUUUUAAUAGAAGGCAGAAGACAAAUAUAAAAAAAUACAACUUGUUACGAAUAACAAGUGUAGUUGAAAAUCUACACCCAAGCUAAUCAAACGAUUAGUCACCGCAACUAAUACAAACACAACACAAAGGGGCAUGCCCUAAACAGAUCGUCAAGCCACAUCUUGACAUGCACCAGACACUUCGAAGAGCAACAAUUUCAACGGAGCUUUUUCCUUGUCUGCGCACCAACCACCCUUUAAUGCCUAAGAGGAGACUACGAGUGGGUAGUGGCAUUCAGCCGGACCCGAGAAAGCCAUCGUCUUGGACUCACUGGCUGUUGCUUAAGCGCCCAUGAAGAUCAACUCAAACCAGCGACAAGCACCGGAGAACCAGUGCAAAGAACCUCCAAGUCAUGUCUUCAUAGACGAUGCUCCCAACAGAGUAACGCCACCAUCGCCGGUCCGGCAACGAACCUAGGCUUUCACUCGGAGACAACAAUUCGCUGAGAGGAGUGAUGGCGACACACCCUAAAGACGUCUCCAAGGAGGGAGACGAUACCGACGGGCGCCGUCGCCGCCAACACCAAUCGAAGAUGUGCACGAUUUUCAUCCGUAACGUCGUAGAUCUUCCCCCAUCCCAUUGGAUUGCGGCCAUAUUGUGCAUGUAGUGUCACAUAGCUGCCGCCGCAACACCUCGUCAUCGUGGCCAUAGCGCGGCGAAGCACCAACACCCCGCACGGCGGAGGAAAUGCAUUCUGAUAAGGACAUCUCUGCCACAGUUGCACCCACCGUGAUUCCUACAUCAGUUAUUUCAUCUAGACCUAUGACUAGAGCACGCGCGAGACAGAUAAAUGGCUAGAUACUAUCGCUUCUCUGUACAUAUGAUUUAACUAACGAGAAUGUGAUAUUACACUCAUGUUCGGAUUUACUUGUACUUAGGAACGAAGGUGUUGAAGAGAUGACGAGGGAAAGCCGCAUGCAAAUGAAAGAUGGAAAAUGUUGCAUGUUGAUUCCACAAGCAGCAACACUAUUGACAUGCAAGAAGCUAUCUAGCCACCUACGUGCUCAAGUGCAACAGGAGGAGGAAGAGUAUUAGGCCUCCUGGACCAGAGACGGCCACGUUCGCAUGCAGCCCACACCACUAACAGUUAAACAAGGAAAUCAUCUACAUGUGGGCCGGCUCAUGAUUAUGAUCUCCUUCGAGUCGUAGCCGACCAGGAUUCAUCCACGCGCAGGCGGUGGACGCGCCUAAUAAAUAGUUAGCUUGUAUUACGUUUAGACUCGAGUUUUAUUGUAUUGUUUAGCCAUCGCUAUAAUUUCGCAUCUACGAGAUGUGUGAAACUACCGUCUUGUCAGAUCCGUAGUGAAACCCUAACUUUUGAUCUAGUUCGUGUGCUUAAUUUUGAUCUAGUUUAUGUGCUUAAUUUUUCAUCCGCAAUUUCAGAUUACAAUUCACCUUUAUUCUUGUUGGUUCUUCGGUUGCUUGCUGGAACUCGAACCUCGUUAUUCAGGUUGAUCGUGCCUACGACAAUCUCAAUAACUAUCGGAGAUUGGUUUAGCGAUUGUCGCGGCGUUUCGUCGGGUACGGUAUAGCUGGAUCGUCAACGUCAAAAUCCAUCAAAUUGAUAGUUAUCCCCACUCUUAUCGAAAGAUCGGGCCGCCGUCACAUCAAGUGGUAUCAGUUUUUGGGUUUAUCAGUGAGAGAUUUACAGUUUUAGUAGAUUAGUUUAUUUUUCCGUCCUAUAAACCCACGAAAAAGCCAAAAAAGAUUAAAUUAGUUCAUCCGCCGCACCUAUCUUUUUAGCCUUUAGCAAUUUUUGCAAUUUGCGUAGUUUAAUUUUUGGUUGCAUUCAUCCUAGAAUUAGUGCUGGUUUAGAUUAGUUGGGGAAGAAAAUCAUUUACUAGAUCAAUCUGCUUUUGUCCACCCUCAUAUUCUCUAUCGCAAUGCGUUCUCAGUCAAAAAAAAGAGACAUAUAGCGAACCAGGCACUAAUUUCCAUUGCAGAUUCCCGCACGUACAUCGACCCAUCCAUACAGGCUUUCUGUUUCGCGAGCGGCCAGACAACCCGGCACAUUGUGUUUGCUGCCUCGCGCCGCAUCACCACAGGCUAACAUGCCAGCCGCCGGACAUCCCACGCUGGUUGUCCGACUCCACGCGUGCCACCACAAAUCUCCUCCGGCUAUUCCUGUGCAUUACACACUAGUAGUACUACUCCUAGCUAAUCUCGACUCUAAUACACUUCUAACUACUCCUUAGGCUGGUCAUAAUGGGCAAGAACAUAAGCUAGUAACUUCACACUUCUCUAGACUAUGUUACUACCACCAUAGUGGGUAGGAACAUCUAUGUAGUGUCGUGCAACGAUGUAUUUAUUAGGUUAUAGACUCAUUGUUUUUUGGAGUGUGUGAUGUUCCGGUAACUUAGCUAGUUACCACAAGCACCUCUCUCUUCACUAAAUACGUGCCACAUAAGCAAAGUUGUAUUGGAGUGUGUGAUGUUACUCAUAAAUUCCUCCCCACUGUGACCAGCCUUAGCACUUUGUUCAGUAGCUUUGCAUUUUUUUCUCUCUCUCUCAUGACUUGAAUUCUGUCCGUGAUUUUGCUAGUAGCCGGCCUAAAAAAAGCAAAAAAAGAGCAAAAAAAGUAAUAAAAAUAGUGAAAAAAAACAAACAAGGCCGCUUACAUAUGUUGAGAUUAAUCUCUUGCAAUUGAUAUUAUGGACAUUAUUUUGUUGCUCCAACCACCACAUCAUAUCAUUUGUAUCUGCUGGAGCCUUGUUCUUUAUCUGUGUGUCCCUCGCUACUUCAAUUAUCACAUAUCUUUGUUCAUGCGGUUUCAUUUACUUGUUUCAGUAUCUGGGCUUAGAUUAUUUCAUCUCUUACUAGUCGACUACCAGCACCAUUAGGAGUUUGAGCAAUUAUUCAACUUGCAUUACGUUUUGCUUAAUUUUGCCACAUAUUGUGAGUUGAGGAAACCUUCACCAAGCUCCACUCCCUAUAUUGUACCUUGUUCGGUCACUUAGUAAUCGCUAUAUCAAUCUUUUGAUAACUUUGUCAUAGCCAACGGCCGACAACCACUGCAACACAGUAAAAGCUGUUAAGAGCUUGGUAAUUGCUCGAGAGCCGAGGGACAUUUUCCACCGCCUGAUCGUAGUUACUGUAGGAGCAAUAUACUUGUGAUUUUGUUCUUGUUUCAUCCUAACCAUGGCAGGUGAUGAAGACAACAUGAAAGCUAUGGUGGCACGCCUGGAGGAGGAUGUGCAUGCAUACACCGAGCGGUUCACAUCGUUCGAGGGCGCACUUGAUAAGCGUCUCAAGUCGAUCGAGGAUAGCAACGUUCACUCAAACACUUGCAUCUAUUAUGAAACGUCUCGAUGCCCUUCUGGGUGCCGCCUCCACUGCCGGUCCGCGCCUUAUAGCCACCAACACAGGUCUACAAUGAGGUUGUCGGGUGCUCCCAGGGGACCCGAUGCACCCUCUUUCAUACAGUGAUGCCAUCGACCAGCCCCGUCCUUGCAACGCCAACUCGAUAGCCAGCCCGCAUGAGGACAUCCAAGAUGGCAACUAUGUUGGUGAUUCUGACGAUCUUGAUGUAGUUAACACUAACAAUGAUCAUGAUCAUCAUCCACUACGCAAUAAUCAACAAGGUAUGGGAUGCCACUAGCGUCCUCAGGUAUGUGGCCAUGACGACUCUUUGGGUAGAAUUAAAUUUGUCAUGCCUCCUUUUGACGGAAAAUAUGAUCUGGAUGUUUAUCUUGACUGCGAAUUAUUAGUUGAUCAAAAAUUUGCUUGCCAUGAUUUUCCUGAUGAUAAAAGAGUUAGGGCUGCAACUAGUGAGUUUAGUGAUUUUGCUUCUGUUUGGUGGAGAGAACAUUGUUGUGAACAUCCUAAUAAUAUUCCUUCCACUUGGGAAGUUUUGAAAUUAAUAAUGCGUCACCGUUUUGUUCCUAGACAUUAUGAACGUGACUUGCUAAAUAAACUACAACGCUUGAACCAAGGAUCUAAAUUUUUGGAAGACUAUUAUCAAGAAUUGGAAAUGGGCAUGUUACAUUGUGGUUUAGUUGAGACCGAGGAAGCCUCUAUGGCUAGGUUCUUGGAUGGAUUGAAUAGAGAAAUAUAUGACAUACUUGCUUAUAAGGAUUAUAAUUCAAUGACCCAUUUAUUCCAUCUUGCUAUACAUGGUGAACAUGAAGUGCAGGGUCGCUCGAGAAUGCGUUCUAAUUUUUCUGCAGGUCGUACUUCCACAUGGGCACCGUGCACCACUGCUACCCCGUCCACUCGACCUCUAGAACAACACCUGCAACCUCUCGACCGGGCCUACUUCAUCAACUUCAGCAUCACACACUUCGGCACCAUUGAAAAGUACUACACCAACUCCAACAAAAAAUUUGUCAUCAUCGUCCGCUUCCUCCAAAAGAACAAACGUUAUCCAGUGCCACACUUGUAAGGGAUUUGGCCAUGUCAUGAAGGAGUGUCCUAAUAAGCAUGUAUUGAUCAUUCGUGAAGACGGCAAGUACGACUCUGCUAGUGAUUUUGAUGAAGACACAUAUGCCUUGCUUGCUGCGCAUGAAGACGAUGACACAAGACUGGCGCAAGAGGAAGAACAUGUGAUCACCACCGCCGCCGAUAAGCACAUGAGUCUUAUAUCACAUCGUGUACUUAGUGCUCAUAUUGUCAAAGCAAAGAAGGCAACGUCACAACCUCUUCCACAUCAAAGGAGUCGUCAAGGAGCAUUCCGUUCGGAUAAUCAUUGAUGGAGGGAGUUGUAACAAUUUAGCAAGCAUUCACAUGGUGGAGAAGCUCUCCCUACCUUCCCUGACAACAUCCACAACCUUACUACAUUCAAUGGUUUAAUGAUGGUGGAAAGUUAAAGGUAACACGCAUGGCGAGAGUUCCUUUUUCUUUAGGUUCGUACCAUGACCCUAUUAAUUGCAAUAUUGUGCCUAUGCAAGCUUGUUCUAUGUUACUAGGAAGGCCAUGGAAGUAUGAUAAACAAUGUUUACAUGAUGGUAGAACUAAUCAGUACACUCUCACACAUAAAGGAAAGAAAAUCAUUCUACACCCUAUGUCUCCUGAGCAAAUUUUUAAAAGAUGGUCUUGCUAGGGCUAGUAGAAUUACAAAUACUGAGCAUACUAAAUCUGAAAAUCAGAAAGUUGUUGAUGAUGUGAACAAUUUAAUAAGAUGCACAAAUCUGAUCCUAGCACAUUUAAAGAAAUUAAAUUGAAAGGUGCUUCUUUCUUAGCUACACAUGCUGAAAUGUUUGAGUUAGAUGCUCAUACUGAUGAAUGUUAUGCUCUUAUUUUCAAGAAGUUUUGUUUUGAUUUGAGGAUAUGCCUUCUUCUUUGCCUCCUGCUGUCGCUAAUCUUUUGUAGGGGUAUCAUGAUGUUUUCCCAAAGGAAAUACCACCGGGGCUGCCACCUAUGAGAGGAAUUGAACACCAAAUGGACUUGAUACCUGGCGCCUCAUUACCCAACCGUGCACCGUACCAAACUAAUACAGAGGAGACUAAGGAGAUUUAGUGACAAGUUCAAGAACUACUCGAAAAAGGUUACAUUCGUGAAUCCCUUAGUCCAUGUGCUGUACCAAUUUUACUUGUUCCUAAAAAGAUGGUACUUCACGUAUGUGUGUUGAUUGUAGAGCCAUCAAUAAUAUUACAAUUCGAUAUCGUCAUCCUAUUCCUAGAUUAGAUGACAUGCUUGAUGAACUCAGUGGCUCAGUUGUGUUUUCUAAAGUGGACUUGCGUAGUGGCUACCAUCAAAUUCGUAUGAAACCAGGUGAUGAAUGGAAAACUGCUUUCAAAACUAAAUUUGGUUUAUAUGAGUGGUUAGUUAUGCCUUUUGGAUUGACUAAUGCACCUAGUACUUUCAUGGGACUAAUGAAUGAAGUUUUGCAAGCUUUCAUUGGAUGAUUUGUGGUAAUAUACUUUGAUGAUAUUUUGAUUUAUAGUAAGUCACUAGAGGAACACUUAGACCAUUUGCGUGCUGUUUUUUCUACUCUGCGUGGUGCACAUUUAUUUGGUAAUAUCAAGAAGUGCACUUUUUGCGUGGAUCGAGUUGCUUUUCUUGGCUCUGUCGUGACAGGCAUGGAAUUGAAGUUGAUAAAGCAAGGUUGAAGCGAUCCAGAGUUGGCUGAUCCCUAACUCGGUCACACAGGUAUGAAGUUUUCUUGGACUUGCUGGGUUCCACCGGCGGUUUGUGAAGGAUUUUAGUACCAUCGCAGCGGCGCUCAACGAGCUCACAAAGAAAAAUGUGCCAUUUGUUUGGAGCGACGCACAAGUGGUAGCCUUCACUAUUCUUAAAGAUAAGCUUACACAAGCCCCCUUGCUGCAAUUACCUGAUUUUAAUAAGAUGUUUGAAUUAGAAUGUGAUGCUAGCGACAUUGGUUGAGGCGGUGUUUUAUUUCAAGAAGGCAAACCAGUAGCAUAUUUUAGUGAAAAAGUCAGUGGGCCUAGUUUCAAUUAUUCAACAUAUGAUAAAGAACUUUAUGCACUAGUUCGGACUAUGGAGACAUGACAACAUUAUAUAUGGCCUAAGGAGUUUGUCAUAUAUUCCGAUCAUGAAUCACUCAAGCAUAUUAGAAGUCAAAGAGAAUUGAAUCGUAGACAUGCAAAAUGGGUUGAAUUUAUUGAAUCUUUUCUUUAUGUUAUUAUAAGAACAAGAAAGGGAAGGAUAAUGUUAUUGCCGAUGCAUUAUCUAGACGCUAUACCAUGUUAUCACAACUAGACUUCAAAUUUUUCGGACUUGAAACUAUAAAAGUGCAAUACACUAAUGAUGUCAAUUUUAAAUAUAUAUUGCUCAAUUGUAGAGAGGGUAGAACUCGGAACAAGUUCAUCGUUAGUGACGGAUUUGUUUUCGUGCUAAUAAGCUAUGAAUCCCAGAUAGCUCUGUUCGUCUUUUGUUGUUACAGGAGGCGCAUGGAGGUGGACUUAUGGGACAUUGUGGCAUCAAGAAGACAUAAGACAUCCUUGCUGGUCAUUUCUUCUGGCCGAAAAUGAGAAGGGAUGUGGAGAGAUAUGUUGUACACUGCACGACAUGCCAAAAAGCUAAUUCACGAUUGAACCCACAUGGUUCAUAUAUGCCUCUUUCUGUUCCUAGCACUCCUUGGGAAGAUAUAUCUAUGGACUUUGUAUUAGGGCUGCCUAGGACACAACGGGGGCGGGAUAGUAUAUUUGUGGUUGUUGAUCGAUUCUCUAAGAUGGCACAUUUUAUACCUUGUCAUAAAAGUGACGAUGCUACUCACGUUGCUGAUUUGUUCUUUGGAGAAGUAGUUCGUUUACAUGGUGUGCCAAAUAUAAUUGUUUUUGAUCGUGACACAGAAUUUCUUAGCCACCUUUGGAGGGUGUUGUGGACAAAAUUGGGGACUAAGCUUUUAUUUAGUACUAUAUGUCAUCCUCAAAUAGAUGGUCAAACUGAAAUGGUUAAUCGAAUAUUGUCUACUAUGCUUAGGGCUGUUUUGGAAAAGAACUUAAAAAUGUGGGAAGAAUGUUUACCUCAUGUAGAGUUUGGUUAUAAUCGUUCAGUUCAUUCUAGCACAAAGUUAUUCCCUUUUGAGAUUGUUUAUGGAUUUAUACCUCAGUCGCCUAUUGAUUUAUUACCUAUUCCAUCUUCGGAGAAGGUAAACCUUGAUGCUAAAGAACGUGCUGAGCUAGUAUUGAAAAUGCAUGAGAUGACUAAGAAAAUUAUUGAAUGCAUGAAUGAUAAGUAUAAACUUGCUGGUAGUCAGGGUAGGAAAAGUCUUGUGUUUGAACCAAGUGAUUUAGUAUGGUUACAUUUGCGAAAAGGCCGCUUCCCUGAUUUACGGAAGUCAAAAUUAAUGCCUCGUGCGGAUGACCCUUUUAAGGUGAUAGAAAAAAAUAAUGAGAAUGCGUGUAAGCUUGAUUUGCCUGCAGAAUUUCGGGUUAGUCCCACAUUUAAUGUUGUGGACUUAAAACCUUAUUUGGGAGAGGAUGAGAGUUACCGUCGAGGGCGACUUCGGUUCAAGAAGGGGGAGUUGCAUCCACCGCGACUCCUACAUCAGUUAUUCCAUUUGGACCUAUGACUAGAGCACGCGCCAGCCAGAUAAAUGGCCAGGUGCUAUCGCUCAUUUGUACAUAUGAUUUAACUAACGAGAAUAUGAUAUUACACUCAUCUUCAGAUUUACUUGUACUUAGGAACGAAGGUGUUGGAGAGAUGACGAGAAAAAGCCGCAUGCAGAUGGAAGAUGGAAAAUGUUGCACAUUGAUUCCACAAGCAGCAGUACUAUUGACAUGCGAGAAGCUACCUAGCCACCUACGUGCUCAAGUGCAAAAGGAGGAGAAGGAAUAUUAGGCCUCCUGGACCAAAGACGACCACAUUCGCAUGCAGCCCACACCACCAACAGUUAAACAAGGAAAUCAUCUACAUGUGGGUCGGCUCAUGAUUAUGAUUUCCUUCGAGUCGUAGCCGACCAGGAUUCAUCUACGCGCAGGUAGUGGCCGCACCUAAUAAAUAGUUAGCUUGUGUUAUGUUUAGACUCGGGUUGUAUUGUAUUGUUUAGCCAUUAUUACAAUCCGCUCUAUGAGAUAUGUAGGACUACUGCCUUGUCAGAUCCACAGUGAAAUCCCAACUUUUGAUCUAGUUCGUGUGCUUAAUUUUUCAUUCGCAAUUUCAGAUUGCAAUUCAUCUUUGUUCUUGCCGGUUCUUUCAUUGCUUGCAAGAACUCAAACCUUGUUGUUCAGGUUGAUCGUGCCUACGGCAAGGUCAAUAACCAUCGGAGAUUGGUUUAGCGAUUGUCAAGGCGUAUCAUUAGGUACAGUAUAGCCGGAUCGUCAAGGUCAGAAUCCACCAAAUUGAUAGUUAUCCUCACUCUCAUCGAAAGAUCAGGCCACCGUCACAUCAAGUGGUAUCUGUUUUCGGGUUCAUCGGGGAGGGAUUUGCAGUUUUAGUAGAUCAGUUUAUUUUUCUGUCCUAUAAACCCACGAAAUGGCCAAAAAAAUUUAGAUUAGUUCAUCCAUUGCAACUAUCUUUUUAGCCUUUACCAAUUUUUGCAUCUAAUAUUUGCGUAGUUGAAUUUUUGGUUGCAUUCAUCCUAGAAUUAGUGAUGGUUUAGAUUAGCUGGGAGAGAAAAUCAUCUACUAGAUCAAUCUGUUUUUGUCCACCCUCAAAUUCUCUAUCACAACGCUCGUCCUCAGUAAAAAAAGAGAAUAUAGCGAAUCAGGCAUUGAUUUUCAUUGCAGAUUCCCGUAACCCAACCAUACAGGCUUUCCGUUUCAUGACCGGCCAGACAACUGGGCACAUCGUGUCUGCUGCCCCGCGCCGCAUCACCACAGGCUAACACGCCAGCCGCCAGACAUCCCACGCUGGUUGUUUCACUCCACGCGUUUCACCACAAAUCUCCUUCGGUUAUUCCUAUGCGUUACACACUAGUAGUACUACUCCUAGCUAAUCUCAACUCCAAUACACUUCUAGCUAGCUCCGUAGCACUUUGUUCAGUAGCUUUACAUUUUUUUCUCUCUCUUGUGACUUGAAUUCUAUCCGUGAUUUUGCUAGCAGCUGGCCUAAAAAAAAAGCAAAAAACAGAGCAAAAAAAGUAAUAGAAAAAAACAGUGAAAAAAAACAAACAAGGCCGCUUACACGUAGUAGCCACUCCCUCCGCACUGUCAACACGUGCUACACCACAGGACCACACAACAGCCAGCCCUGACGGUUGUUCACCUGGCCGAAUGCCCCUGGCCCACUGCACGGCCUAACCAGUAUCGUCGGUGAUGGCCAGGGGAGCAUGGGAGGAGGGUCCUGAGCGGCUAAGUUUACUCCUCCAAUGCCUCCCCCGCAAGCGGCUCGGGAGGGAGACAUGAAAGGGGAAAGAGCUUGUAUGGGAUCUGGUAAACGUGUACAUAGUUAGAACACACAAGCAUGCUUGUUCAAAAAAAAGUCUCAUUUUCAAAAAAUUUAGCAAGCUUGUUCUAAAAAAGUCUCAUGUUUAUACUAUUUUCAUAUUUACUGUUCAACUCGGUUUAUAUGAGCUGGGGAGCGAAAGGCCUGCUCUGUUUUGGAUGCUAUUCUCUGUUCAGUAAUGUGGUAGCUCAUGCAUUUGGCUUGGGAGUGAGAAAUGUGUAGAUCAUGGUUUGCCACACAGGCUAACACGUGGAUAUUGCCUUGGAAGAUCUUAGAGAUUACUAGAAGCAAAUGUGGCCCUUGCCGCGCCGCUCUUCUUGUGGGACCUAUCUUUUACCGUGUUGAGUCCGGGUCACUGAUGGCUGAUCACCAAGCGAUGAAUGAAGAGUUUUUCCAAGGAUACGUCAAAGAUUGAUGUAUCGAGAUCAUAGAUAGAAAAUGCCUAGAAAGGCAGACAAUUUUACAACUUAGCCACGGCUAUGAAAGCCAAUGUUUGACAUGCCGAUUACUCACUAGUAGCCCACUCAUCUACUCUAACAGGGAGUGAUCCCGCCUCUCGAAGUAGCCCUGCUGCCCUCCAGUCUUGCCCUUCUAGAUCAAUCUUCUUGAGGAGCUCACUUGUGGAGGCCGCCGCUCCAUUGAACACUACAUCGUUCCUGUGCUUCCACAACAUCCAAGCCACCAAUGCAAUGAUGGUCCAUGUCUCCUUACUAAGUUUUGGCUGCGGGUUAACGGAGGUCCACCAUUCCACUAGAUUGCCAUCUACCCUUGGAAACCAAGUUAGUUUGUCCUACUGGUCGAGAAUGGAGAGCCACACUUGUCUAGCAAAGACGCAGCCGAGAAGGAUGUGAUUGAUUGUCUCCGGCUCUUGUUCACAGAAGGGGCAAGUUGAAGGAUGCGGUAGGUGCAGACGCACAAGCCUGUCAACCGUCCAACACCUCUCCCGAGCCGCCAGCCACGCGAAGAAAUUGCACGUCGCCAUCGCUCUUGACCGCCAGAUUUGCAUGGCUCCAGCGGCCUCCACUCUCCCAACAAAGAACACCCGGUAGGACGAUCUCGCCGAAAAGCACCCAUUUUGUUCCCACGCCCAGACCAAUCUGUCUUCAGUGCCAUCCAUGAGCUGAAUGUGUUGGGUUAUGUCCACAACCUGUAGGAACUCGGUCAGUGGUUGGGGGCUCAUGUUAGGUGACAUGUCUAGCCACCAACCUUCAGCUAUGGCUUGUCUCACUGUUCUCUCCCACGCUCUCCUUUGACUGCAGCGAAUAGGUUUGGCAUGAGAUCUUGGAUUCUACCAUCCCAUGACCACCAAUCUGUCCAGAACAAUGCUAGCUUUGCUUUGAGCGCUGCGUUGAGAAGGCACAAGUUUAGAAUGCCAAGGCCGCCGUACUCCAUUGGCAUGCACACCUAAUCCCAUGCCACUAGACAAUGACAGCCAUGUACAUCUCGAUGUCCCUUCCACAGAAAACCGAGGCAUAUCUUAUUUGCUGCUUCGAUGGUUUUCUCUGGCAGAUCUAGAGCCACCAUCGCAUGUAUGGGCAUGGACGCUAGCGUGGUCUUUACUAGAUCCAGACGCCCAGCCCUGAAGAGCAGUCUCGCUUGCCACGCGAGAAGCCGACCGGUCAUUCUAUCCACCAAGUGCUGCAAUUGCGAUGCCGAUAUCUUGCGCAAGCCCAAAGGCAUCCCGAGGUACCGGCAAUGCCAUCCGGUCACCUGGAAUCCCAACUGAUCGGCUAUCCACUGCACUAGCACCUCGAACAACAAAUCGGGUGUGCGGAACACUUAACCAUUUUCGUGCGAAGUCCCGAGCUGUACCAAAAUCUGUGAGCAACACAACACAUGCCCUAAGGCUUCGGCGUUCUGGCUUGAGAAAAGUGACUACAUCAUCCACAUAUAUUGUUGUCCUGUGCCAUAGCCCGGCUGGUGCAAGUGGAGUGAGCACACCAUCUGAAGCCGCACGUUGAAGUAGGUGGUGAAGGGCCUCCAUGACCAUAACAAAAAGCAGGGGGACAUAGGGUCUCCCUGCCGGAGAUCUUGCCAGUUAUAUAUGACCUCGCCUGGUAUUUCAUUGAGCAGUACCCUUGUUGAGGAGGAUGCAAGGAGACCGGCUACCCAAGAAAACCAUUUUGGGCUGAACCCAAGUUGCUUCAAAACCUCCAUCAAGAACGCCCAGUCCACAGUGUCAAAUGCUUUUGUGAUGUCUAGCUCAAGCAUGACCGAAGGUGUCGAGGAAAUAUGUAGCUUCUUUGCCAUGCCUUGUACCAUCAUGUAAUUAUCAUGUAGGCAUCUUCCUCUAAUGAAUGCACUCUGGUGAGCACCGACCAAGUGUGGCAUAUCGCCAAUAACCCGUGUCACUGGGACCUUGGCAGCCAGCUUGGGGAAGCUAUGAAUUAGGCUGAUUGGGCUGUAAUCCUCGACCUCAAGCGCGGUGGCAGAUUUUGGCAAAAGAGUGAUGAAUGUCUGAUUAAUGGAAGUCAUCCUACGAAAGUCUAUGGCCCCAAAUGAAUGGAAAGCUGCCAACACAUCGCCCUUAAUGACAAGCUAACAUGCGACAGAGAACCGGGCCGAGAACCCGUCCGGGCCCGGCGCCUUGUCGAAGUCUUGCACACGGAUCGCCUCCCAAAUCUCCUCAUGUGUGAACAAUCCCUCCAGAUGUGUCAUGUUAAAAGUUAGCAUUCCUAGCUCUCCUAGGUCCAGCGUGUAUGCCCGGUCCGGCGCCACUCCAAGCAGAUUGGCAAAAAAGGAGUCUACCGCCUCUGCAAUAGCGUCGUGAUCCCACGUCAUGAUGUCAUCUACUUUCAACUUUGAAAUGUAGUUCUUCCAUGUCCUAUAGCUUGCAUGCGCAUGAAAAAACUUUCGUGCAUGCGUCUCCAUUUCUCAACCAAUUAAAACGGGACCACUGCCUCGUGAUUGAGCGCUCUAGCGAUGCUAAUCUGAGGAGUUUCCGCUUGAUCAUUCGCCGUAGUUCCAUCUCAGUAGGGGAUAGCGAUCGUGUCUCCAUGGCGACAUCAAGCCGCAAAAUCACCUCGUUUGCAAUGGUCAACUGUUGUUUGAUGCUUCCCACAUAUUUAUCACUCCAGCUCAUCAGUUUGUUUGCGGUGGCCUUCAGCUUCAUAGAAAGCCUCUUGAAUGGGUUUUCCACGUCCGGAUGGCUCUCCCAGGCUUAUUGAACCACCUCAUGGAAGCCUUCAAUCUUUGUCCAAAAUUUCUGAAAGUGAAACCGCUUGCCUCGUCGAAGGUCGGCCUCCAGGAUGAUAUGUAGGGGGCAGUGAUAAGAUGUGCUAGUACUGAGAGCUGUGAGGAAAGACUGCAGGUGUAAUGGUUCCCAAUCUAUCGAAACCAAAACCCUAUCGAGCUUCUCGAGGGUAGCCUCUUGCCUGUCAUUGGACUACGUGUAUCUCCGGCCAUUGAGAUAUAGAUCUUUUGGGUCCAAGUCCGAGAUGUAGCGUCUAAACCGUCCCAUCAUCUGACGAUUUAUUCUUUCGUUCACUACGGCAGGAUGGUCCAAACGCUACAGUCCACUCAGAGACCCUUCGAUGAAACUGUGUGUGAUGCAUUAAUCGCAAACGAUGAUGUAAAAUAACCAAAAAAAUGAUACAAAAUGUUUGUGAUGGUGGAGACAUCAAAUACGAUCUAGAUUGUAGUAGCGUGUGUAAUAUGUGGCAUAUGGUUAAUCCAGAAGAACUGUUUGCGAUGAGUCAGAACAACAAAAACAGUCAGCCAUAUAAAGGUGUGUGCGAUAUACGGCAUACAGUUCACUCGGAUGAACUGUUUGCGAUUAGGGAACACAACAGAAACGGUCAGCGAGAUCAAGGUGUGUGCGAUAUACGGCAUAUAGUUCAUCGAGAUGAACUAUUUUUGAAUAAGCAACACAACAAAUACGGUUCAACUUAACAAGAUGUGUGUGAUAUGUGGCAUACAAUUCACAUAGAUGAACUAUUUGCUAUGAACCAAAAGAACACAAACGAUUCGUGUAAACAAGAUAUGUGUGAUACGCAGCAAACAACCACUCGGAUGAACUAUUUGCAAUGAGAAAAUAAAACAAAGACGGUUAUUAGAGUUAAUUCGUGUGCGAUUCUGUGUGUAGAAAAAACUUUGAAAAAUGCAAACCAGUUGCUUGCAAUGGCUAGGAGUAUCGCACAUGAUGCGCGUGCAAGUACUCGUGUGCGAUGAUUAGUAAGUUACACAUAUGUUUCCUUAAGUUAACACGUGUGUCGUAACACGUGACACCACAUACGGUUGUCUGGUUGUGUGCUCCACUUAGUCUUGCCGCGCUCCAGGAAGGCUUCCCACGCUCCACAAGGGUGAUUUGUAAAAUCCCCUAGCUAGCUGCUUGCUAUAAAUAACCACAACAAUGGCCACCGGUAACGACUCGCUACUGAUCCACUUGCUAGCUAGUUACCCACACAUACCGACAUACCCCCAACAGCCAACGACAGGAUGGAGUUGUGCGACGGGAAUGGGCACCGGAGAUCAUAGUUUAGGUUAAUUAAUUAUAUAUCCGGAGUAUAAUUAAUUAACAUAAUCUGAGAUCAAAUAAGUGAAGCUUCCCCAACGUGAUCGUGCGCUGGCCCCAACCGCUAGCAGAGCACGCACGCUGGGACGCAACCCGAGCGUGCCUUGGCGCCUAAACGGUAAACAAAGCGCACAGAGGGAUGCGACCCGAGGGUGCCUUGGCGCCUAAACGGAGAGCGGAACACGUAGAGGGAUGCGAGCAGAGCACGCCGCGACCGCCUAAACGACGAGUAAACACAUGCAUAAUUAUUUCAUACAGCAGAUGAACAUAGCCGGGAAUAGGCGUCCAAUAAUAUUAUUUUUGAUGACAUGCAUUAAUAUAUUCUUAGUUAAAUCCAAGGUAAAAGUUUGGUACUAUAAAAUACGAAGGGGGACAAUAAACCAUGACAGAGGUAGUACCUAUAUGAACACAAACGCCCAGUACAGAAAUUAAUGACAUUAUAAAUGUGUCUCGCAUUCCACACCAAUGCUUCCCGCCUCUUCCCUCAUCAGUUUCCCGCCACCAGCAAGUGGCUUGCUCCAUAUGACCCAGGCGGCAACGCACCGUAUCGACACUAUGCAUAGAUCUAGUCCACACCCAUCUACCAUUAGUUAUUCCAAGCAUGCUAGGCACUGAUGAAUGCUUCAAUGUCGACCCUUUCAUGCAUUACACCUUCGGCAAGGAGAACGAGCCAGAGCAGGUCGGGGAGCAAGAGCUUCAUUGGCCGGUGCUGGAGCCAUGGCCCAUCGGCAGCGAUAUUGCCGUGACAGUCCUUGAGGGUGCAAUGUACAUAUUGCAGAGGAAGUGUGAUGAAUAGUUUGCCAUCCACCAUGCAAAAGAUCCAGAGCUGCUAGGCGGCAUGAUCGAUGACCCACCCGAAGAGCCACCAUUACCAAUGCUCAUCGAGAGCCUAAUGCCCUGCAAGGAAUGGGUAGAGGACCUCUGCGAUUCAAUUAUGAGAUAGCCAGCCUACGGCUUCAUCAUUGUCGGCGGCGGUCGUGUCAACCUCGAUCCCGAUGAUGUGGUCGCUAGGCUUGAGCGCAUCCAUGGCUGAGUUGACAUCCCCGACGAAGUAGAACAUCGCCAAUGUGGUAUCUUGAGGAUGCAGGUGAUGGAUGGAAUUUGCUACCAGGGCAGACACAUGGAAAUGGAGUGGUUCCGCGGGUGUGUUAUGCGCGCAAUUGAAUGCUAUCAAGCUGUUCUUGAAGAGGCCCAGCAGCCCCAAGAGCCUCCCAGCACCAGCAGCUCCGUAGGCGGAGACGGGUAACGUGGCUGCGGGUCGGGACACUUAGAAUGAAUGGCAACAAGGGUGCUAUGCUGAUCAUGGAGUCCGAGAAGACAGUCAUCGGAAGGCCGCCAGCUCAACCUUUUAGCCUAUAUUUUAUUAUAAUUGUAUGCAAAUAUCGCAUAUCGACAUUUUAAGUCACUAAGCAUAUGUAGCUCGUGUGUGUUUUGGGCAUUGACGCAUGUGGCAUUUUAAAUUAUCCUGAAUUUGUAAGACACUAUUAACCAUUGCCAUUGUAAAUUUGCCUGAACGAUGAGUAGAGUGCGCGUAGGGAUGCCAGAGAGGAGCGCGCCAUGAUUUUCUCAAUGGAGAGCAAAAUGCGUGGACAAAUGCGAGUAGAGCACGCCGCGUCCAUCUCAAUGACGAGCAGAGCGCGCGCAUGCGGCAGGGGGGAGGAGAAGAGCGUGCCGCGGCCACCUAAAAGGCAAGCAACCACACCUGCGUAUUGCAAUUCUGGUCAACCUUUUGGCACCCCGUGGGAGGCGCUACGGCCCAUCCAUCGGACAUGAUGGUGAUAGCUAGACCAUGUGUGAUAGUGGGCAGACACAUACAUGUCCAAGAAAGCGGGCCCACGUACGCUAUCUGGGAACCGUUUUGGGCUUCAAUCCCAGAACCAUCAAUAAAUUUUGAGUUUGUUUCUCGUCACAUUCCAGAGUACCACGUAAUAAGUUACUGCAAAUCUGGUCACACUGAUCCAACCUAAACAUGUUCCCACUUAGCACUGGGUUAUAAAAACCACCCACUCGAAAUUAGUUUACAAUUCCUCUCCUCAUCACACAAAAAAGAGGUCUUUGCCAUGACCGGUUGUGGGGACCCCAACUCAUAAGUCGAGAUCACCGAAUGCACGUGUACAGUGAUCCCGGAGAUCAAUGCUCACUAAACACACAUAAGUUGAAUACAGGAGUCUUACAUCCAUACAUACCGUCUUACACAAGUUAUGACCGUUAUGGUCAAGUCUUACAUAGAUAAAGCCUUAAGGAUUGAACAUCAAAUAAAGCACAAGCAGCGGAAAUCUUCGUCUAUAAGUAGAACCCAUGCCAUCUGCCUUAACCCUACAGGCAUUCUGACUGGGAAAGCGUCCUAUCUCGCAUGUUGUCACCAAAGAACUCUUCUUCAUAUCAAGAUCUUUCAUACCCGGCCAAUUAAAUAACCAGUGGCAAGGCAAUGAGUACUUUGAAUGUAGGCUCUACUGCUAAAUUGGCAUUUUUGCGCAAAGCUAGUUUUUCUCAUGCAAGUAUGAUCAACAUUUAUCAAGGAUAUGAAUGCUUCUGCAGCAAGUGUCAGGAGGUUACAGACAUCAACAUCGAGAAAGAGUUAUAAACAACUCAUGCUCAAGCUCAUCGUGACUUCCUCAUGAAUCACAUUAUCAAUAUUACCAAACCGUGUUGUUUGUCAGAAACAUAUGGCCAUAGUCUAAGCAGCACUACCCAACUGUCCUUGACCGUGGACACGACUAUUUGAAUAGUUUGACACUCUGGAGAGGUUGCACACUUUACCCACAAGAUCCGGGAAGCUUUCAUGUCAUCCACAACCCGCGGUACCUCAAGUACCAGGGGUAAGCACCCGAUCACUACCUUUCCCUUGCCGUGACUAACAAGGAGUCCACUCGAUUGGUACCAGCCCUCGUGCCAACAUUAUCACAUAAUAAAUUUUUGUGGAUCCACGCUCCCAUAUUAAUCAUAUAACACAAGCACGGGGUACCAGCGAUGUGUCUGGUGCCCUGUAAAAACAGUCAAGGCCACACUACCUGGCACGACCCCGUCCCGAGAGUGAUCAUGCCACUCUCGUCAAUAGUAAUGCGGGCAUUCAUGUUAGCACGAACUAGGUAAUCAAUAAUGUCCUUUUGCAUAUAAGGGUAGAGUGGUUGCACAUGUAGGGUUGGGACGGUCAACAAAUCUUAAAUCUAAUCCGUCUUUGUAAACAAAACUUUCAUCAAGCCUCGGUACACUACCUAUCCACCAACUAGUGACCUAGUUCAUCAUCAUCUCCCAGGGGCAUUAGUGGCACCCACUGGGCUAUUUGCAAGUAUGUCAAACCACACUUGUUUCUUUCCAUGCAUAACUCUGACCCAUUUUGCAUAGCCAACUACUAUAGCAUAUUUCUACAACCCACCAACACAGCUCUAAACAAGGAUAGAGUCAUGAACAAUGUAAGUAUCAACGGGGUAUGCACCGGAGGCAAGCCUAGCAAGGUUGCCAUUCAAGAUAUCAUGCAUUCAACAAUAAGGGAAAGAAAUGCUAUUAUGAUAAAAAGGGUUCUUCAUGGUCAAAGGGCUGCUUGCUUGUCUUAACCAAGUCCCUGGGUCUUCAAAUGUCUCUGGUCCAACUCCUUCAUCAACGUUGUAAUCUAACGUUGCAAAAAUAACGGCACAAAGUAAGACCAUAACACAAAAAAAAAA
This 20410-nucleotide long non-coding RNA is filed under the name Triticum aestivum (bread wheat). RNAcentral describes it as "long non-coding RNA (TAES_LNC003162)". The record is from RNAcentral. Lineage: Eukaryota; Viridiplantae; Streptophyta; Magnoliopsida; Poales; Poaceae.